CUUGUGAGUAAAUUAAUUUUCGCUCGUCUACUUAUGUGUCGCUUCGUCUUUCGACCUGCUCUCGUCCCCUCGGAGCAACGUGGCAGUUUCUUUACUUUCUCAGUAAAGGGGAAAGCGGAUCACGAGUGUUCACGCUUCUAGCACCAACUGCAACUUCUUUCGCUGGUUCGCACGAUCUGUUCCGAGGACAGUGCCAGGCGGAGAGUUUGACUGAAUCAAACCAUCUGUCAAAUGAUAGCGCAGGUGUCGUAAGGCGAGCUCAGUGAGGGCAGAAACCUUGCUUAGAGCAAAAGGGUAAAUGCUUGAUGAUCUUGAUAAUAGCGAGUUUCAGAAUAGGGGGCCCCAGAGCUUUGGGUGCCCCCUAUUCUAAAACUCGCUAUUCAGUACGAUUACAAGCCGCGAAAGCGGGGCCCUUUGAUUCUUUUUAAUUAAAAAGUUUUAAGCAAGACGUGUCAGAAACGUUAUCCCAGGGGCAACUGACUUGUGGCGGUCAAGCGUUCACAGUGGCGUCACUUUUUCUUCUUUCGAUGCUGGUACUUCUUAUCAUUGCGAAGCAUAAUUUGCCAAGCGCUGGAUUGUCAUCCACAAAAAUGGGGAACGUGAGCUGGGUUUAGACCGUCGUGAGACAGGUUAG
This 634-nucleotide ribosomal RNA is filed under the name Ixodes scapularis (black-legged tick). RNAcentral's name for it is "eukaryotic large subunit ribosomal RNA". It matches the Rfam family "Eukaryotic large subunit ribosomal RNA", at positions 2453 to 2986 of the family's 3401-position model. Lineage: Eukaryota; Metazoa; Arthropoda; Arachnida; Ixodida; Ixodidae. The record is from RNAcentral.